RNAcentral lists this small RNA (94 nucleotides) under Flavobacterium caeni. RNAcentral describes it as "Flavo-1 RNA". It matches the Rfam family "Flavo-1 RNA". Lineage: Bacteria; Pseudomonadati; Bacteroidota; Flavobacteriia; Flavobacteriales; Flavobacteriaceae. The record is from RNAcentral.
UAGCCCCGAUUGAAACGGAAAUCCUUUUGCGGCCGCAGUCCCGACACUUCGGGACGGAGGCCGUAAAAGAUUGCAGUGAAAAGCGGGAAAAAGC